Long non-coding RNA from Mauremys reevesii (Reeves's turtle), 451 nucleotides. RefSeq lists it as uncharacterized. The record is from RefSeq and is a predicted model, not a curated record. The transcript has 3 exons. NCBI's taxonomy places the organism in Eukaryota, Metazoa, Chordata, Testudines, Geoemydidae.
AUAUAUAUAUAUAUAUAUAAAACAAAAGACAGGCAACCGUGAGUUAUGUGGAUAUACAUUGUAGCCCUAAGGAUUAAUCUGCUGGUUGUCCUGCAGAAAAGUUCAGGCCCUUAGUCCCAUGGCAUCCAAGACUAGAUGGCAACAUCUUUAUCUCAGAAGAAAGGAAAGGUCAUGAAGGAGUGAACUACAAACAUGAGUUGCAGAGAUUUAUCACCAUGAAGUGAACAGUGGAACAAGAUAUUGUCAAAGCAGUGGGAGAUUUUUAAACAUUGACACAAAUAAGAUGAAACAUUCACCUGAAAAAGAAACAUCAGAUAAAGAUUAAAACUUCUUAUUGAAAGCCAUGCACUGCGUGAUGGAUGAGCACAGAUUCAUUCAAAGCACAGCACACUAGUAAACUGUAAUCUCUGGAAGAAGACAGCAUAUAUAUUCAAAACUUCCCAUUAGUCAA